AUGAACUCUUCUCUAGGGUUAGUGACUGUGAUACUGUUGAUGUUUGGAGGAACCAGUGGAGACUCAGUGACCCAGACAGAAAGCCAAGUAACCGUCACAGAAGCAGCCAUCCUGACUAUAAACUGCACUUAUUCCGCCGCAGGAUAUCCGGCUCUUUUCUGGUAUGUUCAAUAUCCCGGUGAAGAGCUACGGGUUCUCCUGAAAGCCACUACAGCCAACAAGAAAGAAAAAAACAAAGGUUUUGAAGCUACACACAAUAAAGAAGCAUCUUCCUUCCACUUGGAGAAAGCCUCAGUCCAAGUGUCAGACUCGGCUGUGUACUACUGUGCUGUGAGUGACACGGUGACAGGAACUGCAGAGGGAGCUGAGCACAAACUCUGA
Non-coding RNA from Orycteropus afer afer, 381 nucleotides. NCBI's taxonomy places the organism in Eukaryota, Metazoa, Chordata, Mammalia, Tubulidentata, Orycteropodidae. The record is from the annotation of a RefSeq genome assembly.